This 67-nucleotide transfer RNA is filed under the name Euhadra herklotsi. RNAcentral's name for it is "tranfer RNA-Ile". The record is from RNAcentral. Lineage: Eukaryota; Metazoa; Mollusca; Gastropoda; Stylommatophora; Camaenidae.
GUGUGGCCGCCGGAGGACGGGUAUUGUUGAUGUCAAUAUUAUAGAACAAGUUUGUUUCUGUCACAUU